Molecule: small nuclear RNA, 164 nt
Filed under: Nestor notabilis (Kea)
Lineage: Eukaryota; Metazoa; Chordata; Aves; Psittaciformes; Psittacidae
Description: U1 spliceosomal RNA
Rfam family: U1 spliceosomal RNA
About the family: U1 is a small nuclear RNA (snRNA) component of the spliceosome (involved in pre-mRNA splicing). Its 5' end forms complementary base pairs with the 5' splice junction, thus defining the 5' donor site of an intron.
Source: Rfam by way of RNAcentral
AGCCUGACCUGGCAGGAGAGACACCAUUAUCAGGCAGGUGGUUUUCCCAGGAUGAGGCUCAUCCCUUGCGCUCGGGGUGUGUUGACCCCUGUGAUUUCCCCAAAUGUGGGAAACUAGACUGCAUAAUUCGUGGUAGUGGGGGAUUGUGUUUGUGCUCUCUCCUG